ACGUUUGAGACUAAGACGUUGAUAGGCUGGGUGUGUAAGCGCAGCGAUGCGUUGAGCUGACCAGUACUAAUGAACCGGGAGGCUUAACCUG
Molecule: ribosomal RNA, 91 nt
Filed under: Morganella morganii
Lineage: Bacteria; Pseudomonadati; Pseudomonadota; Gammaproteobacteria; Enterobacterales; Morganellaceae
Description: partial 23S ribosomal RNA
Rfam family: Bacterial large subunit ribosomal RNA
Source: RNAcentral